Molecule: non-coding RNA, 5801 nt
Organism: Odocoileus virginianus texanus
Lineage: Eukaryota; Metazoa; Chordata; Mammalia; Artiodactyla; Cervidae
Source: RefSeq, a predicted model, not a curated record
GUGUCCUCUGCAGAGCUGGUGGCAGGGUGUACUUCCGUCAGUAAAGGUGGGUGUGCCAGCGCCCAGCAUCUCAGCUCCCUGAUAGGAGAGCGCCCCUUCGCCUGCAGCUGGCAGGACUGCAACAAGAAGUUCGCGCGCUCUGACGAGUUGGCGCGGCACUACCGCACACACACGGGGGAAAAGAAGUUCAGCUGCCCCAUCUGCGACAAGCGCUUCAUGCGCAGCGACCACCUGACCAAGCACGCGCGCCGCCACGCCAACUUCCACCCCGGGAUGCUGCAGCGGCGCGGCGGGGGUUCGCGAACCGGCUCGCUUAGCGACUACAGCCGCUCGGACGCCAGCAGCCCCACCAUCAGCCCAGCCAGCUCGCCCUGAGCGCCUGCGCGCGGGGCGGGGCCUGUGGCAAGCCACGCCCCACCAGGCCAUGCCACGCCCUGAGGCCCCGCCUCCUUACCACAGCCAUGAGCAGAUGCUCUCACUUCUCGUGAUUCCGUGUCUUUUCCUUUUGUAAUAAGAAGAGAGAAGAAAAAAAGAGAGAGAACUUUAUGAAGUCGACGACAACAACAACAACAAAAAAACAAUUUUCUUCACCUCAGGUGUCAAAUUUGUAAAAAACAAAAAAACCACAAUGAAAAAAAAUUCCAAAAAACACCAUCCACAAUUGCACAAGAGACAUACCCACGCAGGUGAGAUUCAGCGGUGUUGAGCCUUCCCCCCUCCCCCCCUUUCUCAGGGAUGGACAUGUUCCAUGAGGUCAGUGAGGACACCCCCUUCUUGCCGCCUUAUUCUGUACAUAGAUUUCCACUCUGGAGUUUCCUUUAAGGUUUGGGCACACACUGGGGGCCCGAGCAGUGCAGGUGGAGCUCCCCGCGGGCGGCAGAUGGAGCGGUGGUCACCAGCCUUGUGCUUUUAGGGCAGACCCCUGAGCAGGGCCCAUGGCUCCCUCUUCCUGCCCCCUGCCCAGCCUCAGGCUCGCCCCAGUGGCAGUGGGCUAAGAAUGCAGAGGACUCUGAGGGACACUUCAAGCCGUGAUGGGCAAGGGGAACAGUCCUCACCUCUGGGACCCUGCCCAGGUCCCUCUCAAGCGCUGGAAGCAGAGAUGCAAUCCUGGGUUGGGCAGACCGAUGCACCGUCUGAUGUCCACACGGCUGUGUGAUGCUGUGUCCCCGCAGAAGGCGCCAGGACCUUCCACAAUUAUACCACGUCCUCUGACUGGCCUUCUACAAGGAUGUCCAAAGGUGUCACCGGUGCAUCCAGUUCCUACAUUUUCCCCGACUGACCCUGCUCAUGAGACGCCUUUGUUUGACACGGUGGGUAAAGCGGGGCUCUGUGCGUGUGGCCUGCAGUGGCCGUGCGUAGCACUCCACAGAGACUGUUUGGUAGCAAGAGACCGGAACAUUGUGACUUGGAACUUUGGGGGGUAGCAAGGCGGACGCUAUGGGAAAUGCAGUCGGAGAACAUACAUUCUCUUUCCUCCCCGGGGAGCACCGUACAGAAGUUGUGGGAAGUGCUUUUUUUCAGACCCACCGUGUCCCCAGCUGAGACUCAGCGAACGCUCAGCUUCUCCGUGAGCUGUGUCCCCUGGACUCCUCCCUCCCUGGUCUCCCCCUCCCACCUGGGAGGCCCCAGCCCACCCCCAGCCUUGGGGCACUGGGGUGUAGGGUCCCCAUUGCCAGCCUUCCCGAGCAGAGAGCUGGGGACAUCUCUCCGGGAGCCCCGACCCGGGCAGGUGGGUCAGGCAGGCUCCAGCAUGCUCCCCUGUGGAGAGCUGGGGCAGCCCCCGCCCAGGCACCUCCCUGGCCUUCCUCCAGGGAGUCAGGGCCUGUAAAUACAAGUCCCCAGGACAGUGUGUGUAUGUGUGUGUGUGUGUAUGUGUGUGUGUGUUGGGGCAGGGGUGUGGGUUUGGGAAGGACUUGGGGUAUCUUGCAGAGACCUCUGUUCAUUUCGAUGAGGAGGAAUGACCCUUGGGACCUCAGAGGGCCAUAGAGGGGCUUCCCUGAGCCCAGAGUGCCUUGGUUGUGGCCAUCUUGCUUCUGCCCCCACCCGAUCACAAUGAGGGGUACAGCACGGAGGAGGUCCCGAGACCCAGCCCCAGCUGGUGCUCAUGGGCCCUGGGCGGCUCCAGAGCACAUGGGCGCCCCCAUGUCCUUAGCAGCUGCCAUCCUCUGCGCUCCGGGUGCCCAUUUCUAACUCUGCUGUGUCAUCUGGGGUCAGCCAGUGGUGUGAUAGUGGCUUCUGAGAGCAUGGCAGGUACGAGGUGGGCAGGUGCAUCGCUCUUGCUAUGCAUGGGAACCGGGCAGAAGCGGCAUGGGGGUGAGGCCUCACCCUGACCUCUGUUGGGGCUGGGUGGCAGCCCUGCUCGCAUUUGGUCCAGGACAGAGAACAGAAUGUGCUGGACACCUGGACAGAGCAGUGCCCUGAGCACCAGGGGUGAGAGCUUUUCAUGCCCAGUCCCCAGGUGAGGCUGGCAGGGCCCUCGGAGUUCCCUCCCAAGGCCGUUUCUGUGUGGGGCCGAGAAAGCCACACUCUGAAUACAUUUCAUGUCUCAGGAACUCACAUUCCAGGUUCAGGAAUUUUAUUCCAAAGUCCUUUGGUGCGCUCACUGCCCACGCGGUCCCCAAAGUCAGGGAGGGGGGCCACGUGCCCCGCGGGAGCCUGGUGUCUCCUCGCGACCUGGCUGUGGCAUUGCCGAGGAAAGAGGGUUUCAGAGCCCACGUCUCUCUGCACAUAGGAAGAGGGGAAAGGACUCUAAACCCAGUCAUCUUGGAAUAAAAGAAGAGCUGGUUUGUUUUGGGGGGGGUGGGGGAGGGAGGGAAAGCGGGCGUUUGCUGUUCCCAAAGAGAGCACUUAAUUUAAUUUUUCCUCUAAGUGACCCAGGGCUGUUCCGUCUGCUAGAUGGAAGGGUAACAUUGCCUUAAAACAGAAAUAUGCAGGCGCGGGCUAUUUUUGGCAGAUGAGUGUGUCCUCGUUCCCAAAGCAGUUUUGGUCUAAUGGCAGGGUGCGGACCUUCUGAAGUGGGCCUGGCCCAGGACACGGGCUCCUGCUUCUCUGCCUUCGGGCAUCUGGAGAGAACUGGCUGGUACCCAGAGCACUCGGCCUGGAGCUCCAGCCAGCAGGCCAUCCUGGCUCACCUGAGGCUAAAAUUCAUCUCACUUGAAGGGUGGGGGAAAUCCAUGCAUCUCAGGCUAGGUUCAAAUGGGCUUUUGCUAGCAUCUCAUCAUCAUGACAUAUGGAAGGAGAGAGUGCAGGCCCUCCCUCGCUCAGACCCCCAUGGGAAGUGGUUGCAUGGUGGUGGGGGUGGGUGGAGGACCCUGCUGAACAGCCUGCAUUUUUUUUCUAAGUAGAAUGUCUUCCCGGCCCAGGUCUGUUUCAGGGUCUUUGAUUUUUCUGGUUUAUGGUCAUGCUUGCUGACUUCAGUGUGACAACUUCUAGAAACAGUAGUGAAAACUCCAACCUUUAUUGUGUGCUGACUAGUUCUUGUAGGCCAAGGGGGCAGAGAUCUCAAAAUGAAGGUUGCCUGAGUGAAGGGAGAGGUUCCCCUCCAAGAAGGCCUACAGGCGACCCUGGGCUCAACCUGGGGGCUGGUGUUUGGCCCUUGUCCCAAACAAGGAAGCCCUCAGCGUCAGCCAUAUUAGGGUUGUCAGCACGCUAAACGCCUACCCUGUUCUAUAGCCAUGAGGAAAGAUGAGCCCCUUCCACAGCAGGCCAUGGGGUGCUGUGUGGGGAUGUGACCCUGUGGGUGCCCACCUUGCAGCCUGCUGCAGCCCAUGCACCAUACUGAAGGUGCAGGGCGACCGCUUUACUGAGGCCAGGCAUCCGGGCAGGUGCAGGAUUUGCCAGGGUGCGGCCUCCAGGUGCACAUUUCAGCAGCUGCACUGGGGUCUCCAGACCUCCCCAUGCUCUUGGUCACAGCUUAGACCAGGGUAGCAGGGUGGGAGGUAACUUAGAGGCAGGGACAGACAGCAGGCCACCAGUGCCCCCCAGCCAUUUGUUGGGACAUACGGACAGGGCUGGCGGCUUUCUGGGGUCCAAGUGAAGUGCGGCAGAAGCGGGGUCUCUAUUCAAGUCUCCUGCCCUCCAGCCCACUGUCCCCAGAAAAUCCAGCCGCUUUUCUUGCCAGAAGCAGGGCUAAGAUGGCUGCAGGGUCAGAGCGCCCCAAGGGACUCGCUCCUUGAGCUCAGCGAGCGAGCGAAGGACCACCCAGCAGGGAAGCAUGACCUGAGCAAUAGCGUCCCCUUGAUGCUCAUCUCCUGGUUUCAGCUGUGUUUACAAGGCUACCUGAUUUUUUUUUCUUCUAACAGCUGUCACUUUUUUUUUUUAAUUUUCUUAACCCUUUUACAAAGUCAUUCAAAGACUCAGUGCUGAAGGGUUUGAAGACUGAUGGGUUGGUCACACUGCAGCCAGUAAGAAAUACUCUGCAGGUCACCCACAUCUUUGCUGUCCAAAGAUCCCACAUUCAAUUCUGGUGACCAUUUAUCUUCCAAAGCUAAAACCAAGGGUGUAGGCCGAGACUUUUCUUGAAUUCAGGAUUGCCCUGGGGAAAGCCAGGUCCUGUAACUGAUUCUCCUGACUCCAAGACUUGAGCUUCAAAGGUUUGUCCCAGACACAUUCCAGAGAAUUUUGUAUCAGAACUCAGAUGCACAGUCCAGCUUACUACUGAUAAAUGCCUGAACACUGUUCAGGGAGAAGCCCUUCCUCCCGCCCACUACUCUGUCUCAUCAGUUAGAAGAGUUGGAUGUGGUGGGAGGCAGUAGCCCAGGGCUGUACUUGGUUUCUACUGAACCCUUCUUGCCAUAUGGGACUUGCAGUGUGCCCCCCUGGCCCCGCCCAGCCUCUCCCCUUCUCGUGCAGCUUUAAAUUUACUUUUAUUUAAAGAGGAACGGAUGAGAGCAAGUUGCUUCCCCUGCCCUGAACACCUUGCAUUCCCUAUGGGGGACACAGAAGACAUGGGGGGGCAGGGGAGGGGUGCAUGAGCAGCCUUCUCCCAGGGCUCCAGGAUGUCUUCCUGGUGAUAUGAUGACAGGCUGCUGCACAUGUUUGUUUGGAAACCAAGCCAAAUGCCUGCUAGGCAACCAGAGGUCUGGGUGAAGGCUGUCUCCCCUACUCAGCCCAGGAGCGCCUGUCCCAGGCCAGCCUGCCAUCCCUGGAGCAGGGGGCCACCUCCCAGGGUCCAUUCCUGGGUCAGGGUGCCUGGCUGUGGGCGUGUGGGCAGGAGGCUCACCUUGGAACGUCCCUGUGGCAAGCACCAAGGACCCUGAGGGCUGGAGGGUAGCUGAGCAGCUGUGCAUUGUUGGGGGCAGGGCCAUUAUGGCUCCCACAGGCCAGGAAUCCGCCUGGGAAUCUCUGUGCUGGGUAUACUAGGGGUCUCAGCCACCCUGGACUUCACAGACGGCCCCUCUUCCCAAAGCCAUUGAUGGAGUUUCUCUGGGAUUGUUUGCCAAACCCCACGGUAGACUCCAAGGGUCCAAGACCAUUUCCAUCGAGCACACUUUUCUUUUAUGUAGGAACUUUUGGUUUUGUUUUGUUUUGUUUUUUUAACCAGCACCACACCAUGCUUCCGAAGGCCACGUCUCGUCUUUCCCGGAUCACUACAGUGAAGUAUUACAGUUGUACAGUUCCCAAUCUGGCCUUGGCUUGCUCGGAUAAAACUUUGUAUGUAUUUUGUAAGGCAUAGAUUCUAUAUUGUAAUGAUGUCCUAUGCAAAAAGAAAAAAAAAUUAACGAAACUGUAAAUUUUAUUGUUUUAACGUGUAUGCAUGUUUAGUGACGUUUACAUUUUGAAAUAAAAUUUAUGAUUCAUUA